RNAcentral lists this ribosomal RNA (253 nucleotides) under uncultured bacterium. RNAcentral describes it as "partial 16S ribosomal RNA". It matches the Rfam family "Bacterial small subunit ribosomal RNA", at positions 524 to 776 of the family's 1533-position model. The record is from RNAcentral.
UACGAAGGGGGCUAGCGUUGCUCGGAAUCACUGGGCGUAAAGCGCACGUAGGCGGCUUUUUAAGUCAGGGGUGAAAUCCUGGAGCUCAACUCCAGAACUGCCUUUGAUACUGAGGAGCUCGAGUCCGGGAGAGGUGAGUGGAACUGCGAGUGUAGAGGUGAAAUUCGUAGAUAUUCGCAAGAACACCAGUGGCGAAGGCGGCUCACUGGCCCGGUACUGACGCUGAGGUGCGAAAGCGUGGGGAGCGAACAGG